Molecule: ribosomal RNA, 492 nt
Filed under: uncultured bacterium
Lineage: Bacteria
Description: partial 16S ribosomal RNA
Rfam family: Bacterial small subunit ribosomal RNA
Source: RNAcentral
AGUGAACGCUGGCGGUAGGCCUAACACAUGCAAGUCGAACGGCAGCACAGUAAGAGCUUGCUCUUACGGGUGGCGAGUGGCGGACGGGUGAGGAAUACAUCGGAAUCUACUUUUUCGUGGGGGAUAACGUAGGGAAACUUACGCUAAUACUGCAUACGACCUACGGGUGAAAGCAGGGGAUCUUCGGACCUUGCGCGAUUGAAUGAGCCGAUGUCGGAUUAGCUAGUUGGCGGGGUAAAGGCCCACCAAGGCGACGAUCCGUAGCUGGUCUGAGAGGAUGAUCAGCCACACUAGAACUGGGACACGGUCCAGACUCCUACGCGAGGCAGCAGUGGGGAAUAUUGGACAAUGGGAGCAAGCCUGAUCCAGCCAUACCGCGUGCGUGAAGAAGGCCUUCGGGUUGUAAAGCCCUUUUGUUGGGAAAGAAAAGCAGCAGGUUAAUACCCCGCUGUUCUGACGGUACCCAAAGAAUAAGCACCGGCUAACUUCGUG